This 520-nucleotide ribosomal RNA is filed under the name uncultured bacterium. RNAcentral's name for it is "bacterial SSU rRNA". It matches the Rfam family "Bacterial small subunit ribosomal RNA", at positions 227 to 754 of the family's 1533-position model. The record is from RNAcentral.
GUACACACCGCCCGUCACGUCAUAGAAAGUCGGUAACGGCCCACCAAGGCGACGACGGGUAGCCGGCCUGAGAGGGCGACCGGCCACACUGGGACUGAGACACGGCCCAGACUCCUACGGGAGGCAGCAGUGGGGAAUAUUGCACAAUGGGGCGCAAGCCUGAUGCAGCGACGCCGCGUGAGGGAUUAAGGCCUUUGGGUUGUAAACCUCUUUCAGCAGGGAAGAAGCGCAAGUGACGGUACCUGCAGAAGAAGCACCGGCUAACUACGUGCCAGCAGCCGCGGUAAUACGUAGGGUGCAAGCGUUGUCCGGAAUUAUUGGGCGUAAAGAGCUCGUAGGCGGUCUGUCGCGUCUGCUGUGAAAACUCGGGGGCUUAACCCCGGGCCUGCAGUGGGUACGGGCAGACUAGAGUGCGGUAGGGGAGACUGGAAUUCCUGGUGUAGCGGUGAAAAUGCGCAGAUAUCAGGAGGAACACCGGUGGCGAAGGCGGGUCUCUGGGCCGUAACUGACGCUGAGGAGC